This 803-nucleotide long non-coding RNA is filed under the name Paramuricea clavata. The record is from RNAcentral. Lineage: Eukaryota; Metazoa; Cnidaria; Anthozoa; Malacalcyonacea; Plexauridae.
AUUAAGACUAAUGUGAGUAUGUGCACACGGUAACGUUUUCGAGCGUUUUCAUUUGUGUUUUCACGCUAAAACGGAUACAAACACUAUCAAUUUAUGACAGAAGUUGUAGUUUAUUUAAUAUAUCCGAGAUAUUUUCCUUUGGACUGUGCGAAUACGGCGUCAAAACCAUUUUACGGACAAAAACGUUUUUGAAAACGCUGCAAAACGACGCCCGUGUACACAUAGCCUAAGAUUGUCAGUCCAGUUUUCAUCCACAACAGAUGAUGAAUUUGUGCAUGCCAUAUGUAGAAAAGAGUCUUAAAGCGAUAAACAAAGGACUUGCAAAUUGUUAAUAGACAUAUCACAAAACCUGCACAGAAUGCCUGCAGAUCGAGUUUAACACUUUCCGAUCUCGAAUCUACUAUUAUACAAUCUUCAGAAUUCUGUAUAAUAAUCUUACCUCACAAUGUUGGAAAUCACAUUUCAAUCAUGGACUCUAGAUUUCAAAAUUUUCCUACGGAAGCAUGCCCCCGAAGCCAUCUUCUGUCUUUGGCAUUCCAUAAUAUCCCCUCCCCCCAGUUUUACUACUCUCAUAUCCUGGUGCCAAGACAAAGCUAUAGUGAAUUUAGACGUUAUUCACCUAAGAAUACCUAGUCAAAAUAAGAAACAUUUUCUUGGGAAAAUACCCUAACCCCACAAUGGCAAUGGUUACUUUGCAAUUAUGUACUAAUAACUCAUACACCAUUUUUGGUUGAUAAUUUACAAACAAAUUUGGAUUAUGAAAAUGUGUAAGCUACUUUCAAAAUUAGACUUUGUAAUGCUUU